UGGGGAAUAUUGGACAAUGGGCGAAAGCCUGAUCCAGCCAUGCCGCGUGUGUGAAGAAGGUCUUCGGAUUGUAAAGCACUUUAAGUUGGGAGGAAGGGCAGUAAGCGAAUACCUUGCUGUUUUGACGUUACCGACAGAAUAAGCACCGGCUAACUCUGUGCCAGCAGCCGCGGUAAUACAGAGGGUGCAAGCGUUAAUCGGAAUUACUGGGCGUAAAGCGCGCGUAGGUGGUUCGUUAAGUUGAAUGUGAAAGCCCCGGGCUCAACCUGGGAACUGCAUCCAAAACUGGUGAGCUAGAGUAGGGCAGAGGGUGGUGGAAUUUCCUGUGUAGCGGUGAAAUGCGUAGAUAUAGGAAGGAACACCAGUGGCGAAGGCGACCACCUGGGCUCAUACUGACACUGAGGUGCGAAAGCGUGGGGAGCAAACAGG
This 429-nucleotide ribosomal RNA is filed under the name Pseudomonadota bacterium. RNAcentral describes it as "Proteobacteria bacterium partial 16S ribosomal RNA". It matches the Rfam family "Bacterial small subunit ribosomal RNA", at positions 355 to 776 of the family's 1533-position model. Lineage: Bacteria; Pseudomonadati; Pseudomonadota. The record is from RNAcentral.